This 460-nucleotide ribosomal RNA is filed under the name uncultured bacterium. RNAcentral's name for it is "partial 16S ribosomal RNA". It matches the Rfam family "Bacterial small subunit ribosomal RNA", at positions 338 to 795 of the family's 1533-position model. The record is from RNAcentral.
CCUACGGGUGGCAGCAGUGAGGAAUAUUGGUCAAUGGACGAGAGUCUGAACCCGCCAAGUAGCGUGAAGGAUGACUGCCCUAUGGGUUGUAAACUUCUUUUAUAUGGGAAUAAAAUGUUCCACGUGUGGGAUUUUGUAUGUACCAUAUGAAUAAGGAUCGGCUAACUCCGUGCCAGCAGCCGCGGUAAUACGGAGGAUCCGAGCGUUAUCCGGAGUUAUUGGGUUUAAAGGGAGCGUAGGUGGAUUGUUAAGUCAGUUGUGAAAGUUUGCGGCUCAACCGUAAAAUUGCAGUUGAAACUGGCAGUCUUGAGUACAGUAGAGGUGGGCGGAAUUCGUGGUGUAGCGGUGAAAUGCUUAGAUAUCACGAAGAACUCCGAUUGCGAAGGCAGUUCACUGGACUGCAACUGACACUGAGGCUCGAAAGUGUGGGUAUCAAACAGGAUUAGAUACCCGGGUAGUC